GUUCUAAUGACAACCACCUGUUCCCGAUCAGCACACUCGCCAUAAAUACCCCAGACAGUGGCCAGUCUGAUUCACGUCUCCUGUCCAGGACUCAAUACACGGAGAGCAUUCGUCAUGCUUGGCCCGAAGUCCGAGACGAGCCGUGCUUACAAACCCUGACCGCAAUACAAACAAGAUGUGUGCCGAGCCGGUGACGCGGGGAGCCGAGAGCCGUCCCGCUGACCUAACCAGGGAAUCAGGGAGGAUUUCUUACCACAGCUGGUCUCUCAGUAAACAGAUGUCAGAGGCUUAUCUGCUUAUUUUAUCCUUCAAAAAGUUCUGCAAGUCGGUUGCUUCUCUGCCCUUUUCCUGCAGUUUAAUUUAUAGCGCUAAGAUAAGAUGUAAUCACAGGACAGAAAAUAUUUUCUAGAAACAUACAUUAGAAAGUUCAGGAUUUAGAACCAGGUACAAAAUGCAAACUUUACUCAGCAGAAAUAAAUCCACGUGUAACAUGUUUACUGUAACACUUUCUAUACAUGCCAUGGUUAUAAUGAGUUAUAAAGACGUUCAUAAGGCACGGCUCUGAAGUGAAUUAUUUUCCUACAACAGCACUG
This is a long non-coding RNA of Pangasianodon hypophthalmus (striped catfish), 593 nucleotides long. RefSeq lists it as uncharacterized. The record is from RefSeq and is a predicted model, not a curated record. The transcript has 3 exons. NCBI's taxonomy places the organism in Eukaryota, Metazoa, Chordata, Actinopteri, Siluriformes, Pangasiidae.